AUUAUCAUAAUCUGUGCGUUUUCUAUGUUGAGGCCGAGGCGAGGUCUCCACCAGCGAGGAGGGGGCUGAGCGAGUCUGAAUCCCCCUUCCAGCGCCUGACCCUGUCCUCUGAACGCCGGGCGCUCGCCAGGUCUCGUGCAACCUUUCUCUGGAGGCAUUUUAUACCUUGGAAAAUAUCCUAAGCAAGAGAAAAGGACAGAAACAACUUGGAAGGAGGUGGGGACACGGAUGAAACUUAGUUCAGGCUGUGCAGGCAACAUCUUCUAAAAUAAAGUGGGUCCGAGUAAUUAAAAAAAAAAAAAAUCCAGGCAAACAUAAAAGGUAAAACUGCAUGAAUACCAGAGUUGUCUGAGGGCUCCAAACCCAAACUGGGACAUCAGAAAUAGCGCUUCCAACCCCAUACCCUCCCCAUCCCUUAGAGUGUCCUGGCUGGCCUGCUCCGGGCCGCGUCCCCUCCUCUGCACAGUCCGCACACGCCAGUGCCUGGAGGAGUGCUGAUGUCACAGAGGAACGUGCCUAGCACAGUGCCCAGUGCUGGUGCCCAGCUCGAAGAACGUUCCAUGUUGUUACUAUUUACCAGGGGCUCCAGGUGUAUCAAGCACUGUGCUAAACAGCCAAGUAACUCUCUCACUGAUAAACAACUAGGUCAUGAGGUCCCCGCGGUCACAGUCGCCGUUCACGAUAAGGAAACUGAGGCAGAGGCCUGAGGUCCCUCUUCCAACUCUCACAGCUUGUGAGGGGCAGAGCCGGGAAUUUUUUGAUACAACGAAAGGGACUCGAUAUUUCAGAGAUCGCUUGUUGGACUCUCAUUAAACUUGAAACGUACUUGAGGGAACUUGACAUCCGUACAAUAUGGAGUCUUCCGUCCAAGGCCAACGUAUGAUGUGCCCUCCCUUUAUUUCUUUGUGUGUUUCUCAAUAUGGAUUUGUCAUUUUCUUCGUAUAGAUUUUUCAGAUUUCCUGUUCAGUCUUGUCACUGGUAUUUUAUGACUGGAAUCUUUUUAAUAAAAAUUCUAUUUUCUA
Molecule: long non-coding RNA, 1022 nt
Organism: Suricata suricatta (meerkat)
Lineage: Eukaryota; Metazoa; Chordata; Mammalia; Carnivora; Herpestidae
Exons: 2
Source: RefSeq, a predicted model, not a curated record